CAGUAGCCGCGGGAAUACGAAGGGUGCAAGCGUUACUCGGAAUUACUGGGCGUAAAGCGUGCGUAGGUGGUGGUUUAAGUCCGUUGUGAAAGCCCUGGGCUCAACCUGGGAAUUGCAGUGGAUACUGGGUCACUAGAGUGUGGUAGAGGAUAGUGGAAUUUCCGGUGUAGCAGUGAAAUGCGUAGAGAUCGGAAGGAACAUCUGUGGCGAAGGCGACUAUCUGGGCCAACACUGACACUGAGGCACGAAAGCGGGGGGAGCAUACAGGAUUAGAGCCCCGGUAGUCCCUGUCUCUUAUACC
Molecule: ribosomal RNA, 301 nt
Filed under: uncultured bacterium
Lineage: Bacteria
Description: partial 16S ribosomal RNA
Rfam family: Bacterial small subunit ribosomal RNA
Source: RNAcentral